RNAcentral lists this ribosomal RNA (773 nucleotides) under Entrophospora claroidea. RNAcentral describes it as "SSU rRNA". It matches the Rfam family "Eukaryotic small subunit ribosomal RNA", at positions 314 to 1082 of the family's 1831-position model. Lineage: Eukaryota; Fungi; Glomeromycota; Glomeromycetes; Entrophosporales; Entrophosporaceae. The record is from RNAcentral.
AUCAACUUUCGAUGGUAGGAUAGAGGCCUACCAUGGUGGUAACGGGUAACGGGGAAUUAGGGUUCGAUUCCGGAGAGGGAGCCUGAGAAACGGCUACCACAUCCAAGGAAGGCAGCAGGCACGCAAAUUACCCAAUCCCGACACGGGGAGGUAGUGACAAUAAAUAACAACACAGGGCUCUUUUGGGUCUUGUUAUUGGAAUGAGUACGAUUUAAAUCUCCUAACGAGGAACAAUUGGAGGGCAAGUCUGGUGCCAGCAGCCGCGGUAAUUCCAGCUCCAAUAGCGUAUAUUAAAGUUGCUGCAGUUAAAAAGCUCGUAGUUGAAUUUCGGGAUUGACACAUCGGUCGUGCCUUAAGGGGUAUGAACUGGUGUAGUCAAUUUCUCACCUUCUGGAGAACCGCGAUGCCCUUAAUUGGGUGUCACGGGGAACCAGGGACCUUUACUUUGAAAAAAUUAGAGUGUUUAAAGCAGGCAUUUUGCUUGAAUACAUUAGCAUGGAAUAAUAAAAUAGGACGGCAUGAUUCUAUUUGUUGGUUUCUAGGAUCACCGUAAUGAUUAAUAGGGAUAGUUGGGGGCAUUAGUAUUCAAUUGUCAGAGGUGAAAUUCUUGGAUUUAUUGGAAGACUAACUCUGCGAAAGCAUUUGCCAAGGAUGUUUUCAUUAAUCAAGAACGAAAGUUAGGGGAUCGAAGACGAUCAGAUACCGUCGUAGUCUUAACCAUAAGCUAUGCCGACUAGGAAUCAGACGAUGUUAAUUUUUUAAUGACUCGUUUG